This 431-nucleotide long non-coding RNA is filed under the name Homo sapiens (human). Its description in RNAcentral is "HSALNT0158713". Lineage: Eukaryota; Metazoa; Chordata; Mammalia; Primates; Hominidae. The record is from RNAcentral.
UGAGUUUUCUAUAUUAAUUUUAUGGCCUUCUGUUUAUUGAAUCACAAUACUGUCUGAAAUUACUUUUUAGUUAUUCCUCUUAUAUUUUCCAGGUAUAGUAUAUUUCUGAAGAUAGUCAUAGUGUUUAUUUAUCCUGCUCAAUAUUUGUAACUCUUUUUCUUAUCAAAUACUUUUAACUGAAAAUGCCAAUGGGGUCUCUUCUUUUGUUACUUUCUGUAGGUGUACAUGAUGCCGGCCUUUUGGUAGUCUUCUCCAUUUGCCUCUUCAGUGGCUGAAUUUAAUCACCAAGAAACAAGAAACCAUGCAUGGGACAAGAAUCUAAUGAAGGAUAGGUACGUACAAUACAAUUGUUUCCUACAAAAAUAAUUUUUAAUAAAAUCUCUCUGUAGAUCUUAUUCAAGUUAUGAACCUUUCAUCUUCAAACAGUAAAG